RNAcentral lists this ribosomal RNA (465 nucleotides) under uncultured bacterium. Its description in RNAcentral is "partial 16S ribosomal RNA". It matches the Rfam family "Bacterial small subunit ribosomal RNA", at positions 28 to 507 of the family's 1533-position model. The record is from RNAcentral.
GAUGAACGCUGGCGGCGUGCUUAACACAUGCAAGUCGAACGGAAAGGCUCCUGCUUGCAGGGGUACUCGAGUGGCGAACGGGUGAGUGACACGUGGGUGAUCUGCCCUGCACUUCGGGAUAAGCCUGGGAAACUGGGUCUAAUACCGGAUAGGACCACAUUUUGGAUGGUGUGGUGGAAAGUUUUUCGGUGUGGGAUGAGCUCGCGGCCUAUCAGCUUGUUGGUGGGGUAAUGGCCUACCAAGGCGUCGACGGGUAGCCGGCCUGAGAGGGUGUACGGCCACAUUGGGACUGAGAUACGGCCCAGACUCCUACGGGAGGCAGCAGUGGGGAAUAUUGCACAAUGGGCGCAAGCCUGAUGCAGCGACGCCGCGUGGGGGAUGACGGCCUUCGGGUUGUAAACUCCUUUCGCUAGGGACGAAGCGCAAGUGACGGUACCUGGAGAAGAAGCACCGGCUAACUACGUG